Molecule: long non-coding RNA, 1937 nt
Organism: Gasterosteus aculeatus aculeatus (three-spined stickleback)
Lineage: Eukaryota; Metazoa; Chordata; Actinopteri; Perciformes; Gasterosteidae
Source: Ensembl
GGUGGAGGGAGGGGGGGGGGGGGGGGGCAAAUGAAGGGGGAAAAAAAGAGAAAGAAAACAACUUCUAAAGGACUCUUGAGAUGCCUCAGGAUUUUUCCAUGACAGACCAUCGCCUUUCCCAAUGUCGAGCGGUGGGAACGGGCCACUUUGUUUGUACGAAGCGGUGUCUGGGAGGAAUGUGGGGUUUAGCCGGGGAGCCGAGAGGGGGGGUGUAUGAUAACUCCCACUCCAUUCAGAUUUAUGGUCAAGACAGAGGGGCUCCUCCGGAUGCAUGUCAGGGGACCAGUAGAACACCACCCCUCUGCCAAAGCAAAUGUUUUAGCCGAGCAAACCCUCGCUAUUCUGUGCGUCGCUCUCUCUCUCCCUUCCUCUGUCUCCUUUUCUGUGCAAUCGUAUGGAAAAGUGGGUGAUUGUUCUCCCGUGAAGCUUUCACACGGUGACAUUUGUGGUAACCUCAUUAUAAACCAGGCGUUGGCCGUAAUGAAAGCGUCCUUGCCUGGAGUUAGAUGCGAAGAUCGAUAGCACCCUCGCCGUGAUGAAGCCGCAGCCAGCAGCCCGUUAGCUUAGCAUAAAGGCUAGCUUCGCCCUGUUCAAAGGCUGGGAAAAUCCCUGCUGCUGGGCUGUGGAAUAUUCUGCCUUUUAAACGAUCGAGAUGUAGCGUGAGGCGCCAGGAGGGGAAUUUAGAAAGUGUCGGAGAGGACCAAGCCGCUGUUUGAUUUAUCACCAACAAAUCAGGCAAGAAAGCUGGUCGACUGUGAAAAGUGUGUCCUUCCCAAUCUCAGAUUAGAUUCCUCAUCAAAGUGUUUGUCAGCAGUAAUUGACAAACCAGGUCUUUAACCUACCAACAUUUCAUUUACAGAUGUCCUUUCAAUUCUUCUGCGCAUUCCUGGGCCGGUUGUGCGACAUCCUUCAUAGCAGGGUCGGACUUUGCAAACUCCUCUUAAAAAGUUUUCAGAAUCCUUAGAAAAAAAACGACCCCAUUCCCCUCGUCGAGCCCAACCAACACAACUGUACAGCGGCCUGUGAGUCUUUUACUCAUUUUUGUCCUCUUUCCCAAUGCAUUCAGCCCUUCUGAAUGUCCUGUCGCCCCUUCUUACCUUCUCCCCUCCACCUCCCCCUCUUUUCAUUACUGUCCCAUUCAUUCAUUUAUUCUUGUUCUUUUCCACUGCUUCGGCCACGCCAGCGAAUGCAUUCAUCUCCCUGCCUGCCUGGUCUAUCAGAGGACGACACACUCCUUUAUCUCAUCGAGCAUCUGGUAAUGGAAGUAAACACUGCAUCCUCGGCCGGGCAGCGAGUCAGAUGAACGGCAGCGUCCAUGUGUGUGACAGAGAGGGAGGUGUUUGUGCGAGAUGGAAAAGGGAACAAGACGGGCCUGUUACAUCGUGCUAAUCCUAAUCCUAGCCUGCAAUUGUGUCCAAUGUCCACCCCUCCUGCUCCGAGUCACUUCCAGGUCUUGGCUUAGCCGGGGGAAAAAAAGGUGAAUGUCUGCUUCCAUGGCGCCGUCGGUCAGGCGAACCCACUGACCUUGGCGCGGCGGCUGCUUGGCGAGCCUCUGGAGAACCUUCGUCCUCCAUCGUUCCAAUCCAGGAGAUCCGAUUGAAACUGCGAGUGUGCCAUCUGCCCCUUGACAAGAUUACACUGUGCGAUUGGCCAAGAAAUCCUCUAGCGUGGCAGAUUAAUAUUGAAAUAUAGGGCAGGAAUAGCUGCUGCAUGUCUAGAUUCUGUUUUGCCGUGUAGCCCCUCUGAAUUCAUGCCACAGCAACAACAUUUUCCCAGGUGAUUGGAUUAGGAAAUGUAUUAAUUGUUUCUAUCCGUCCCUUUUUGCAUCUCUUUUUCUGCUGAUCCCCCUGGUCCUUUUUUUGUAUUUUGCAUGUGUUUGUGUUAAUCCAGAACUUCCUCCCAUGUCCUCUCUUUAGAUUUUAAUAAAUGUAUCCCAG